RNAcentral lists this ribosomal RNA (442 nucleotides) under uncultured bacterium. Its description in RNAcentral is "partial 16S ribosomal RNA". It matches the Rfam family "Bacterial small subunit ribosomal RNA", at positions 339 to 795 of the family's 1533-position model. The record is from RNAcentral.
CUACGGGUGGCAGCAGUGGGGAAUAUUGGGCAAUGGGCGCAAGCCUGACCCAGCAACGCCGCGUGAGGGAAGAAUGUCUUCGGAUUGUAAACCUCUGUCCUUGGGGACGAAAAAAAUGACGGUACCCAAGGAGGAAGCUCCGGCUAACUACGUGCCAGCAGCCGCGGUAAUACGUAGGGAGCAAGCGUUGUCCGGAAUUAUUGGGCGUAAAGGGUGCGUAGGCGGCGCUGUAAGUCAGAUGUGAAAUCCCCGGGCUUAACUCGGGAGUUGCAUUUGAAACUACAGUGCUUGAGUAAAGAAGGGGUAAGUGGAAUUCCUAGUGUAGCGGUGGAAUGCGUAGAUAUUAGGAGGAACACCAGUGGCGAAGGCGACUUACUGGUCUUUUACUGACGCUGAGGCACGAAAGCGUGGGGAGCAAACAGGAUUAGAUACCCUGGUAGUC